This is a long non-coding RNA of Gymnogyps californianus (California condor), 279 nucleotides long. RefSeq lists it as uncharacterized. Lineage: Eukaryota; Metazoa; Chordata; Aves; Accipitriformes; Cathartidae. The record is from RefSeq and is a predicted model, not a curated record. The transcript is spliced from 3 exons.
CCAUCUGAACAAGGCCUGAGUGCGGCUGUUCGGUAAUGUCUGCCCAUGGCUUGGCAGGCUCUGCAUUCCUUCUGGGGGUGAAGCUUUUGACAGGAAGAAUAAAUGUGAGGCAAAGUCUUUCCUUCGUGUUGAAGGACCAGUGCCAAAGGGAGUGGAGCAUUUUCACAGAAGUAAAUAGAAGUUGAUGGAGGCAUGCCCCAACCAAUGUAUUGUGAACUCCUGUUUCAUGACCUAGUUAUAUAAAGAGAAAUCCUAACUUGUGUUCGAAAAGAAUGAUUC